AGCAUGUCUGUUCCGAGUGUUGGUU
Molecule: ribosomal RNA, 25 nt
Filed under: Keratoisis sp. K26596A
Lineage: Eukaryota; Metazoa; Cnidaria; Anthozoa; Scleralcyonacea; Keratoisididae
Description: partial 5.8S ribosomal RNA
Source: RNAcentral